RNAcentral lists this unclassified non-coding RNA (1310 nucleotides) under Hevea brasiliensis (rubber tree). The record is from RNAcentral. Lineage: Eukaryota; Viridiplantae; Streptophyta; Magnoliopsida; Malpighiales; Euphorbiaceae.
GCAGGUUCUCUUGAUGAUGCUGGUGGCAGUAAUAGAAAAGAGGACAAACAGAGGUCCUAUUAUCAUUCUUGCCGUGAUAUGGUGAAAUCCCUGUCAAUCCAUAUCACCCAUUUGUUUCAAGAGAUGGGCAAAGUAAUGCUACUUCCCUCACGUAGGCGGGAUGAUACACUCAAUGUGUCAGCUCCCUCAAAAUCUGUUGCUUCAACUUUUGCUUCAAUUGCUAUUGAUCACAUGAAUUUUGGAGGUCAUGUAACUUCUGGAUCGGAGGCAUCUGUGUCAACCAAAUGUCGUUAUUUUGGCAAGGUUAUUGAAUUUAUUGAUGGUAUUCUGCUGGACAAGCCUGAUUCUUGCAAUGCUGUUAUAUUAAAUUGCCUUUAUGGGCGUGGGGUUCUUCAGUCAGUGUUAACUACGUUUGAAGCUACUAGUCAGUUGCUCUUUGCUGUCAAUAGAGCUCCUACUUCUCCUAUGGAGACUGAUGAGACACAUACCAGGCAGGACGGAGUUGAGGAUGCGGACCGUUCAUGGAUAUAUGGUCCCUUAGGUAGUUAUGGGAAGCUGAUGGAUCAUCUGGCAACCUCAUCUUUAAUUCUAUCUCCUUUCACAAAGCAUUUACUGACUCAACCUUUGGUUAGUGGUGAUAUCCCAUUUCCACGGGAUGAGGAAACAUUUGUAAAGGUUCUUCAAUCCAUGGUAUUGAAGACCGUACUUCCCGUUUGGACACAUCCACAAUUCACAGAAUGCAAUUAUGAUUUCAUUGCAGCUGUUCUCAACAUCAUUAGACACAUCUACUCUGGAGUAGAAGUCAAAAACACAAACAGUACUGCUACUCGUGUGUCUGGUCCUCCCCCAAAUGAAACUACAAUUUCUACAAUUGUUGAAAUGGGGUUCUCCAGGAAUAGAGCAGAAGAGGCUUUGAGGCAGGUUGGUUCAAACAGUGUUGAGCUGGCGAUGGAGUGGUUGUUCUCACAUCCAGAGGAAGUACAAGAAGAUGAUGAGCUUGCCCGUGCCCUUGCCAUGUCACUUGGGAACUCUGGAUCGGAGGCAAAGGAAGAUGUUCCCAAAGAAAGUAGCAUGACCAUUGAAGAAGAAAUGGUUCAGCCUCCUCCUGUUGAUGAGUUGUUGUCCACAUGCCAUAAGCUUCUACAGAUGAAAGACUCUCUUGCUUUUCCUGUUAGGGAUCUUCUUGUGAUGAUAUGCUCCCAGAAUGAUGGUGAACAUCGGUCAGCUGUGGUUUCAUUUAUUGUUGAACAAGUUAAGGUUUCUAGUAAUGUCUCUGAGGAUGGAAACCGCAGCAUUCUUUUUAAUCUCUU